Sinocyclocheilus anshuiensis is the source of this 343-nucleotide long non-coding RNA. RefSeq lists it as uncharacterized. The transcript has 4 exons. NCBI's taxonomy places the organism in Eukaryota, Metazoa, Chordata, Actinopteri, Cypriniformes, Cyprinidae. The record is from RefSeq and is a predicted model, not a curated record.
AUUCAUACAUGUUUGGAACAAAAUGAGGCGGAUGCCAAACGAGAUGCAAAAGCCAAGUCCGCUGAGGAUGGCGAUGAUGUAACGUUUGGGGAGGCCAAAGCAGCCACAAUCAAAAAAGGGAAUUACUUUCAUCUGUCUAUUUUGAAAUGCACACCUGAGUUCUUCUACACACAGAGGAAGGAGCUCACUAAAAGCUGGACACUGGAGGAUUGUGAAUGGAGGAUCAAGAAGCAUCAUUUCAAGAGCCUGUUCCUGAUGUUUGUGAAGCAUUGUUAUUGCACAUAAGCCACUUUAAGGUUCCCCAGAGAGUCACCCACACUGUUCUUCAACUCCUCCUUCCCCG